This 465-nucleotide ribosomal RNA is filed under the name uncultured Klebsiella sp. RNAcentral describes it as "bacterial SSU rRNA". It matches the Rfam family "Bacterial small subunit ribosomal RNA", at positions 338 to 795 of the family's 1533-position model. The record is from RNAcentral. Lineage: Bacteria; Pseudomonadati; Pseudomonadota; Gammaproteobacteria; Enterobacterales; Enterobacteriaceae.
CCUACGGGAGGCUGCAGUGGGGAAUAUUGCACAAUGGGCGCAAGCCUGAUGCAGCCAUGCCGCGUGUGUGAAGAAGGCCUUCGGGUUGUAAAGCACUUUCAGCGGGGAGGAAGGCGUUAAGGUUAAUAACCUUGGCGAUUGACGUUACCCGCAGAAGAAGCACCGGCUAACUCCGUGCCAGCAGCCGCGGUAAUACGGAGGGUGCAAGCGUUAAUCGGAAUUACUGGGCGUAAAGCGCACGCAGGCGGUCUGUCAAGUCGGAUGUGAAAUCCCCGGGCCCAACCUGGGAACUGCAUUCGAAACUGGCAGGCUAGAGUCUUGUAGAGGGGGGUAGAAUUCCAGGUGUAGCGGUGAAAUGCGUAGAGAUCUGGAGGAAUACCGGUGGCGAAGGCGGCCCCCUGGACAAAGACUGACGCUCAGGUGCGAAAGCGUGGGGAGCAAACAGGAUUAGAUACCCCAGUAGUC